UGGGGAAUAUUGGACAAUGGGGGGAACCCUGAUCCAGCCAUGCCGCGUGUGUGAAGAAGGCCUUAUGGUUGUAAAGCACUUUAAGCGAGGAGGAGGGUACUGGUAUUAAUACUACCAGGUACGGACGUUACUCGCAGAAUAAGCACCGGCUAACUCUGUGCCAGCAGCCGCGGUAAUACAGAGGGUGCGAGCGUUAAUCGGAUUUACUGGGCGUAAAGCGUGCGUAGGCGGCUAAUUGAGUCGGAUGUGAAAUCCCCGAGCUUAACUUGGGAAUUGCAUUCGAUACUGGUUAGCUAGAGUGUGGGAGAGGAUGGUAGAAUUCCAGGUGUAGCGGUGAAAUGCGUAGAGAUCUGGAGGAAUACCGAUGGCGAAGGCAGCCAUCUGGCCUAACACUGACGCUGAGGUACGAAAGCAUGGGGAGCAAACAGG
This 429-nucleotide ribosomal RNA is filed under the name Pseudomonadota bacterium. RNAcentral describes it as "Proteobacteria bacterium partial 16S ribosomal RNA". It matches the Rfam family "Bacterial small subunit ribosomal RNA", at positions 355 to 776 of the family's 1533-position model. The record is from RNAcentral. Lineage: Bacteria; Pseudomonadati; Pseudomonadota.